This 452-nucleotide ribosomal RNA is filed under the name uncultured bacterium. RNAcentral describes it as "partial 16S ribosomal RNA". It matches the Rfam family "Bacterial small subunit ribosomal RNA", at positions 28 to 507 of the family's 1533-position model. The record is from RNAcentral.
GAUGAACGCUGGUGGCGUGCCUAACACAUGCAAGUCGAGCGAUUCUCUUCGGAGAAGAGCGGCGGACGGGUGAGUAACGCGUGGGUAACCUGCCCUAUACACACGGAUAACAUACCGAAAGGUAUGCUAAUACGAGAUAACAUGCUUUUAUCGCAUGGUAGAAGUAUCAAAGCUUUUGCGGUACAGGAUGGACCCGCGUCUGAUUAGCUAGUUGGUGAGGUAACGGCUCACCAAGGCGACGAUCAGUAGCCGACCUGAGAGGGUGAUCGGCCACAUUGGAACUGAGACACGGUCCAAACUCCUACGGGAGGCAGCAGUGGGGAAUAUUGCACAAUGGGCGAAAGCCUGAUGCAGCAACGCCGCGUGAGCGAUGAAGGCCUUCGGGUCGUAAAGCUCUGUCCUCAAGGAAGAUAAUGACGGUACUUGAGGAGGAAGCCCCGGCUAACUACGUG